CAGAAUAUCCUUUCAUUUCAGAAACUUUUGAAAAAUGCAUCAAAAAUUAUAUGAUAAACAACUAUACGAAUACUAAUGGUUAACGUAUCUGUCAAACUUUAAAAUGUACCAGGUACUAUUCAUCAGUACUUUGUAGAUCUUAAUUCUUUUAAUUCCCAUAACAACCCCAUGAUAAAAUUUGAGACACAGGGAGGUUAAACAAGAUGCCUGGGGUCAUGCAGCUGAUACAUGGGAAAACCAGGCCUUGAACCCACGCAGUGAGGAUCCAGAGUCUACACUCCUAACCAACACUUGAACCCACGCAGUGUGGAUCCAGAGUCUACACUCCUAACCAACACUUGAAUAAACUCUAAAGUGCAGAAAUGAUGCAAAUGAACAUUCCCCAAUAAUAACACAAUAAAACUAGAAAUUAAGAACAGAACUAAGUAAUUUUUAAAGUCUUAUCCAUAUGAGAAUUUAUAACCCUCUUAAACAACUCUUGAUUCAGAGAAGAAAACAAAACCAAAAUUGCUAUCUAAAAUAAAAUAAUAAUGAAAAUACUAUAUAUUAAAAUCAAUGAGAUAUAGCUAAAACAGUGUGCACAGGAAAUUUCAAGUCUUAAAUAUUAACAUUAAUCAAAAAAUGUUUAAAAAUUAAUUAAACACCCAACUCAAAAGAAUGAACUAAAUUUAAUGAAAACAUAAAGAAUAAAUUAGUAAAAGCAAAAAAUUAAUUGAAUAGACAACAGAAAAUUAUAGAAUCUAAAUUUAAAACAUCCAGAGCUAAUUAUUUAUGGAAAACAUAAACUAUUAUCUAACUUUAAAAAAGAGAGAGGUAAAGAGGGUAGGCAUGAGAGAAACCAGAAUAAGAAAUGAGGAUGGGAACAUUACAAAGGUAAAAAGGAAAUUCAAAUAAUGAAAAGAUCAUUUUGCUUAAACCUGAGUAAAUCGAUUUUUAAACAUGUGUGAAAUGAAUUAUUUUCUAGAAAAAAUAUCCAAGACCGCUGGGUGCGGUGGCUCACACCUGUAAUCCGAGCACUUUGAGAAGCCAAGGAGGGCGGAUCACCUGAGGUCGGGAGUUCAAGACUAGCUUGACCAACAUGCUGAAACCCCGUCUCCACUAAAAAUACAAAAUUAGCAGAGUGUGGUGGUGCAUGCCUAUAAUCCCAGCUACUAGGGAGGCUGAGGCAGGAGAAUCGCUUGAACCCCACAGGCAGAGGUCACAGUGAGCUGAGAUCACGCCAUUGCACUCCAGCCUGGGCAACAAGAGUGAUACUCCAUCUCAAAAAAAAAAAAAAAGAAAAGAAAAAA
Molecule: long non-coding RNA, 1289 nt
Filed under: Macaca fascicularis (crab-eating macaque)
Lineage: Eukaryota; Metazoa; Chordata; Mammalia; Primates; Cercopithecidae
Description: lncRNA (ENSMFAG00000056316.1)
Source: RNAcentral